UUGCAGAAACACAACAAGGAAUAUUUGAUGCUGUAUUGAAAGGUGUCAUUGAUUUUGAUUCUGAUCCGUGGCCUGUCAUAUCUGAUAGUGCAAAAGAUCUUAUAAGACGAAUGCUGAAUCCUCGCUCUGCCGAGCGCUUAACAGCACAUGAAGUUCUAUGCCAUCCAUGGAUUCGUGACCAUGGAGUAGCUCCUGACCGUCCACUGGAUCCAACUGUCUUAUCUCGCAUUAAGCAAUUCUCUGCAAUGAAUAAGUUGAAGAAAAUGGCUUUGCGAGUA
Molecule: RNA transcript, 278 nt
Organism: Zea mays
Lineage: Eukaryota; Viridiplantae; Streptophyta; Magnoliopsida; Poales; Poaceae
Gene name: Calcium-dependent protein kinase pseudogene
Exons: 2
Source: RefSeq, marked validated